Molecule: ribosomal RNA, 323 nt
Filed under: uncultured bacterium
Lineage: Bacteria
Description: bacterial SSU rRNA
Rfam family: Bacterial small subunit ribosomal RNA
Source: RNAcentral
GAUGAACGCUAGCGACAGGCUUAACACAUGCAAGUCGAACGAGAAUCAACGGAUUGAGGACUCGUCCAAAUGAAGUUGAGGAAAGUGGCGGACGGGUGAGUAACGCGUGAGGAACCUGCCUCGGAGUGGGGAAUAACAGCUGGAAACAGCUGCUAAUACCGCAUAAUGCAACGGAAUCGCAUGACUCUGUUGCCAAAGAUUUAUCGCUCUGAGAUGGCCUCGCGUCUGAUUAGCUAGUUGGCGGGGUAACGGCUCACCAAGGCGACGAUCAGUAGCCGACCUGAGAGGUUGAUCGGCCACAUUGGGACUGAGACACGGCCCAG